RNAcentral lists this ribosomal RNA (511 nucleotides) under Ranatra brevicauda. RNAcentral describes it as "bacterial SSU rRNA". It matches the Rfam family "Eukaryotic small subunit ribosomal RNA", at positions 32 to 533 of the family's 1831-position model. Lineage: Eukaryota; Metazoa; Arthropoda; Insecta; Hemiptera; Nepidae. The record is from RNAcentral.
UUGUCUCAAAGCUUAAGCCAUGCAAGUCUCAGUACAAGCCUAAUUAAGGUGAAACCGCAAACGGCUCAUUAAAUCAGUUUUAGUUCACUUGAGCUUUGACCGAUACGUUGAUGGAUAACUGUGGCAAUUCUAGAGCUAAUACAUGCAACCAAGUCCUGACCAAUUGUGGAAGGGACGCUUUUAUUAGAUCAAAAUCAAUCGGACUUGUCCGCUUGACCUUGGUGACUCUGAAUAACACGGUAGAUCGCACGGUCUCCGUACCGGCGACGCAUCUUUCAAAUGCCUGACUUAUCAACUGUCGAUGGUAGAUUUUACGUCUACCAUGGUUGUAACGGGUGACGGGGAAUCAGGGUUCGAUUCCGGAGAGGGAGCCUGAGAAACGGCUACCACAUCCAAGGAAGGCAGCAGGCACGCAAAUUACCCACUCCCGGCACGGGGAGGUAGUGACAAAAAAUAACGAUACGGGACUCAUCCGAGGCCCCGUAAUCGGAAUGAGAACACUCUAAAUCAU